RNAcentral lists this ribosomal RNA (468 nucleotides) under uncultured bacterium. Its description in RNAcentral is "partial 16S ribosomal RNA". It matches the Rfam family "Bacterial small subunit ribosomal RNA", at positions 28 to 507 of the family's 1533-position model. The record is from RNAcentral.
GACGAACGCUGGCGGCGUGCUUAACACAUGCAAGUCGAACGGAAAGGCCCUGCUUUUGUGGGGUGCUCGAGUGGCGAACGGGUGAGUAACACGUGAGUAACCUGCCCUUGACUUUGGGAUAACUUCAGGAAACUGGGGCUAAUACCGGAUAGGAGCUCCUGCUGCAUGGUGGGGGUUGGAAAGUUUCGGCGGUUGGGGAUGGACUCGCGGCUUAUCAGCUUGUUGGUGGGGUAGUGGCUUACCAAGGCUUUGACGGGUAGCCGGCCUGAGGGGGUGACCGGCCACAUUGGGACUGAGAUACGGCCCAGACUCCUACGGGAGGCAGCAGUGGGGAAUAUUGCACAAUGGGCGGAAGCCUGAUGCAGCAACGCCGCGUGCGGGAUGACGGCCUUCGGGUGGUAAACCGCUUUCGCCUGUGACGAAGCGUGAGUGACGGUAAUGGGUAAAGAAGCACCGGCUAACUACGUG